UUCCAGACUCCUACGGGAGGCAGCAGUGAGGAAUAUUGGUCAAUGGGCGCGAGCCUGAACCAGCCAAGUCGCGUGAGGGAAGACGGUCCUAUGGAUUGUAAACCUCUUUUGUCAGGGAGCAAAGGGCGCCACGUGUGGCGUUUUGCGAGUACCUGAAGAAAAAGCAUCGGCUAACUCCGUGCCAGCAGCCGCGGUAAUACGGAGGAUGCGAGCGUUAUCCGGAUUUAUUGGGUUUAAAGGGUGCGCAGGCGGAAUGUCAGGUCAGCGGUAAAAUUUCGGGGCUCAACCCCGUCGUGCCGUUGAAACUGGCGUUCUUGAGUGAGCGAGAAGUAUGCGGAAUGCGCGGUGUAGCGGUGAAAUGCAUAGAUAUCGCGCAGAACUCCGAUUGCGAAGGCAGCAUGCCGGCUCCACACUGACGCUGAGGCACGAAAGCGUGGGUAUCGAACAGGAUUAGAUACCCUUGUA
Molecule: ribosomal RNA, 465 nt
Filed under: uncultured bacterium
Lineage: Bacteria
Description: bacterial SSU rRNA
Rfam family: Bacterial small subunit ribosomal RNA
Source: RNAcentral